Molecule: ribosomal RNA, 460 nt
Filed under: uncultured bacterium
Lineage: Bacteria
Description: partial 16S ribosomal RNA
Rfam family: Bacterial small subunit ribosomal RNA
Source: RNAcentral
CCUACGGGAGGCAGCAGUGAGGAAUAUUGGUCAAUGGCCGGAAGGCUGAACCAGCCAUGCCGCGUGAAGGUCAGUGCCCUAUGGGCGUUAAACCUCUUUUGUGCGGGAGCAAUAAUGGUCACGUGUGGCCAGACGAGAGUACCGUACGAAUAAGCAUCGGCUAACUCCGUGCCAGCAGCCGCGGUAAUACGGGGGAUGCAAGCGUUAAUCGGAUUUAGUGGGUUUAAAGGGUGCGUAGGCUGUGAGGUAAGUCAGCGGUGAAAUGCCCCCGCUCAACGGGGUGAAGUGCCAUUGAUACUGCCUGGCUGGAAGGCGGAUGCCGUGGGAGGAAUGUGUGGUGUAGCGGUGAAAUGCAUAGAUAUCACACAGAACACCGAUUGCGAAGGCAUCUCACGAAUCCGCGAUUGACGCUGAUGCACGAAAGCGUGGGUAUCAAACAGGAUUAGAUACCCUUGUAGUC